This 87-nucleotide microRNA precursor is filed under the name Marmota monax (woodchuck). Lineage: Eukaryota; Metazoa; Chordata; Mammalia; Rodentia; Sciuridae. The record is from RNAcentral.
UCUCUCUCUCUCUCUCUCUCUCUCUCUCUCUCUUUCUCACACACAGAGAGAGAGAGAGAGAGAGAGAGAGCGAGCGAGAGAGAGAGA